AUGAACGCUGGCGGCGUGUUUUAGGCAUGCAAGUCGAACGAAUCUUGUCGCAAGACAAGGUGAGUGGCAAACGGGUGCGUAACACAUUGGUAACCUACCUCAGACACGGGGACAACUCGCCGAAAGGCGAGCUAAUACCCGAUGGUUCUUCCCGUCGCAGGAUGGGAACGUAAAGGCGCAAGCCGGUCUGAGAGGGGCCUAUGGUCUAUCAGCUAGUUGGUGAGGUAAUGGCUCACCAAGGCAAUGACAGAUAGCGGGCGUGAGAGCGCGACCCGCCUCAGUGGGACUGAGACACUGCCCACACUCCUACGGGAGGCUGCAGUCAAGAAUAUUCCCCAAUGGACGAAAGUCUGAGGGAGCGACGCCGCGUGCAGGAAGAAACCCCUCGGGGCGUAAACUGCUUUUCUCUGGGAAUAACCCUGAAGGUACCAGAGGAAUAAGAGGCUGCUAACUUCGU
This 457-nucleotide ribosomal RNA is filed under the name uncultured bacterium. RNAcentral describes it as "bacterial SSU rRNA". It matches the Rfam family "Bacterial small subunit ribosomal RNA", at positions 29 to 506 of the family's 1533-position model. The record is from RNAcentral.